Non-coding RNA from Heterocephalus glaber (naked mole-rat), 2869 nucleotides. The record is from RefSeq and is a predicted model, not a curated record. Lineage: Eukaryota; Metazoa; Chordata; Mammalia; Rodentia; Bathyergidae.
CCUCGCAAGCGCAAGGACCCGAGUUCGAUCCCUGGUACAAAAAAAAAAAAAGUCCUGUUCUUGCUUCUUAGGUGCAGUAUCUUAUCUGAGGAUCUUCCUAAACAUGCAAUUAAGAAUGAGGGGGUUCUGAGCUUGUAGAUAGGACUGUGAAUUUCCCUAGGGUGUCUGACAGGGCCCCUGUUUCUGUUGUUGAGCCCCUAAUGUCAUUUCCUUGGAACUUUCCUCUUUAGCUUAUCAGAGUUUUCAUAGAACAAGCCUUUCUGCAUCCUACCUGGAAGGUGUAGGUCUGGCUAUUGGGAGACCUUUUUAAUGGGCAUUGAUUAAAGUAAACUUGCAUGGCAACAAAUUAUACUUGGCAAGUAGAUACCAGAAAGCAAAUAUUCAGACUUCCUGGGUGCAGCAUGAUAUUGGCGCCUGUACUGAAUGUGAAUAAUCAAGUACAAAAUGUGUUCUGGAGGAGACAGAUUUGUUCACUGCCACUAGAGACAAAGCCAUCCUGCUUUAGCUGCUGUCAGGCUGAGUAAAUGAAGCCCAGUGGAGCCAAACACAGUAGAUAUUUACCUAAUGCCCCCUUGUGAGUAUGGUUCUCUUCCCCUCUGAGAAGCCUGGUGCUGGUCAUUAUUGAAACCCUGACCAGCCUAGUGCUGGUCAUUAUCGAAACUCUGGGUCUUACCCUCUUCAAAAAGUAAACUUCUGUAUUCCUCCUGGAUGAGGGUCCCAGCACAGUGAAAAGAGGGAAAAGGUUUUGAGAAAUCUUCCUGCUUCUUACGUAGGCACUUAGCCAGCUCAGCUGCUUUUAGCACUAUAUUUACUCUCUCUUCCAGAGGUUCCUGAUGUCACCAUUUCCUGACUUUUGGGGGACUCUGCGAUGUAAAUUGCUUGUUUCUCAAUUCUUCCCACUGUUGGCUUGGGUUUUGACUCUCAUGAGUCUGCUAGGUCAGUUACCAUUCACCCAUUUCCUCACCAGCUUCAAGUAUUUUAUUGCUAUUAUCCUCACUUCUAAUAUCUUUGGUUGUGUGGGUCUGUGCCUUUUGCAAAUCCAUUUACUGUUAUUCUGGUGAGAUUUAGGGAGGGAAUGCAAGUCCGUGUGUGCAUGUAAAGCACUGUCUCUAUACUAAGUCUUGCCCUUAACUUUUUAUCAGUGACUUAACCAAGGUCCUUGGGAAGUUACUGGUCUGUUUCUUUUUCACAUGGUUAGAAACAGGCCCAGGGAACUGAUGGGACUACUGGGAGCCAUAGCUAUAGCAUCAGGACUGGGACCGUAUUUUCUCCAUGUAGAGUCCACUCUUCUCUCCCUGUCCUGUGUCACAAAUUCAAAGGCCAUGUAGCUGUAAUAUUUUUAUCUUCUUUUUGCUUGUCAGAUAAUAAAUCUUUAGCUUAACAUGUACAGUAGUACCUCAGUUCACGAAUGUGUCUGUUUGCAAACAAUUUGGUUUUCAAACAAAGGCAUCCAGCAAAAUUUUGCUUUUGUUUGCAAACUCCGUAUCAGAUGACAAACAUGACCAUAGCCCUCUUCUCCGCACAAACACAGCCAUCUCUCCAAAAUCAUAAAACAAAUUAAGUUUGUAAACUGAAAUACCAUUGUAUUUGAUUUUUUUGUGUGUGCCUCUGUUUAGUAUUUGCUAAAUUUUUUGUUUGUUCUCUCCAGUAUUCAUUCACUGAUUUUUUUGGAGGAGUUAUUAAGUGCCAAACACUCUUCUUGACACUGGUAGCAUGGUAGUGAACAACAGAGGCCUUGCACUUUUGAGCUCACAGAUACUGGGAGGAAGAGAAUAACCAAAUGGGCAGUAAACAGUGAUUCAAGUAGAAACCCAAAUGUGGGGCACAUAUGUCAACUAUUAGGAAAGCAACAAUUCAGUGAAUUUUGUCAGAAGGGUGGAGAACUGGCAAGAUAAUUCUCACUGGAGCAGGAGAAAGUGGUGUUUUUUGUUGUUGUUGUUUUUUUAAAGAAUGAAGUUUCUUGUAAAAAUCCCACAACCCAGGAAGGCUGAGAGCUCUUAACUACGUGUUUAACUGUCCUAUAAAAGAAAGAUAGUAUUUGAGUGAAAAGUGAGCAAGUCCUGCCUUCUUCACAGUCACAGAAGUUUCCAUCUGGUCCAGCUCAUCCUUCUUCCUCUCUUCCGUCUACCACAGUCAUACCUUAGCCCAGCUUCAUGCUCUUUCUCUUUUCACCAGGGCUAGGCUGGAAACUUGGUGAGACCUUAGACCUCUGAAAACAUUGGAGACUCCUGGGAUGCUCCUAAUUAAAAGCAUUUACUUUAGGUAUGUGCUUGCCUUCUACGUGGAGUAUAGCGUGUUCAAUGAAGGCUUGUUGAAUACAAAUUUUGAGGGAUUAGGACAGGCAUACUUAAUUCAAAACCUCCACAUUUUAUUUUGCUCCUUGAAGCACAGUGUUUCAUCCACUCUUAAUUUUUUUCUGCUCACACAACUGAGCAGGCUUAAAUAGCUUACAUUUUUAUAGGACCUUGAAAUUCAAAAAGCUCUUCAUAUGCAUUUCUUAUUUAAGCAUCUCACUCUUAAGAACCCUGUGAAGUAGAAUCUUCUCCUGUUUACUGAAGGGAAAUUUGGUUAAUACACCUGACCCAGGAAAUACCAUAAGUACACCUAGCUCAGCAGUUGGACAAACAGUGGCGGUGAAACUAUGGCAUGCAUGCUGCAGUGGGCUGUUUAUAUCAUUGAAAGCUCUAAAAGGUUCGCCAUCACUGAAGCUUCAAGUCCAGUUUAUGACAAUAGCCCACACCUAGAGGUACAAAUAUACGUAUGAAGGAUGACCUUUCUCCUCCACCUAAUCUUCGCGUUCCCUCUUCCUCUUCUCGCAUUCUUAUUGUCAGAGUUUAAGUGCAUUGUAUUUAGGGGUCACAGAGGCAAG